GUUGUAUGGUUAAGUGACUAAGCGUACACGGUGGAUGCCUUGGCAGUCAGAGGCGAUGAAAGACGUAGUAACUUGCGAUAAGCCCAGAUUAGGUAGUAACAACCAUUUGAGUCUGGGAUUUCUGAAUGGGGAAACCCACUUACAUAAGUAAGUAUCCUUAUCUGAAUACAUAGGGUAAGGAGGCGAACCGGGGGAACUGAAACAUCUAAGUACCCCGAGGAAAAGAAAUCAACCGAGAUUCCGAAAGUAGCGGCGAGCGAAAUUGGACUAGCCCUUAAGCUUUACACGCGUUAGACGAACGGUCUGGAAAGUCCGACGAUACAGGGUGAUAGUCCCGUAGUUGACGACGUGUGUUCAGUGAAAUCGAGUAGGGCGGGACACGUGAUAUCCUGUCUGAAUAUGGGGGGACCAUCCUCCAAGGCUAAAUACUACUGACUGACCGAUAGUGAACCAGUACCGUGAGGGAAAGGCGAAAAGAACCCCUGUGAGGGGAGUGAAAUAGAACCUGAAACCGUGUACGUACAAGCAGUAGGAGCAGGCUUGUCCUGUGACUGCGUACCUUUUGUAUAAUGGGUCAGCGACUUAUAUUCAGUGGCAAGGUUAACCAUCUAGGGGAGCCGUAGGGAAACCGAGUCUUAACUGGGCGUUCAGUCUCUGGAUAUAGACCCGAAACCAGGUGAUCUAGCCAUGGGCAGGUUGAAGGUUGAGUAACAUCAACUGGAGGACCGAACCGACUAAUGUUGAAAAAUUAGCGGAUGACUUGUGGCUAGGGGUGAAAGGCCAAUCAAACCUGGAGAUAGCUGGUUCUCCCCGAAAGCUAUUUAGGUAGCGCCUCGGACGAAUACUACUGGGGGUAGAGCACUGUUAAGGCUAGGGGGUCAUCCCGACUUACCAACCCUUUGCAAACUCCGAAUACCAGUAAGUACUAUCCGGGAGACACACGGCGGGUGCUAACGUCCGUCGUGGAGAGGGAAACAACCCAGACCGCCAGCUAAGGUCCCAAAUUACUACUAAGUGGGAAACGAUGUGGGAAGGCUCAGACAGCCAGGAUGUUGGCUUAGAAGCAGCCAUCAUUUAAAGAAAGCGUAAUAGCUCACUGGUCGAGUCGGCCUGCGCGGAAGAUGUAACGGGGCUAAGUAGUAAACCGAAGCUGCGGCAAUAUACUUUUGUAUAUUGGGUAGGGGAGCGUUCUGUAAGCGGUUGAAGGUGUGUGGUAACGCAUGCUGGACGUAUCAGAAGUGCGAAUGCUGACAUGAGUAACGAUAAAGGGGGUGAAAAACCUCCUCGCCGGAAGACCAAGGGUUCCUGUCCAACGUUAAUCGGGGCAGGGUAAGUCGACCCCUAAGGCGAGGCCGAAAGGCGUAGUCGAUGGGAAACGGGUUAAUAUUCCCGUACUUCUUACAAUUGCGAUGGGGGGACGGAGAAGGCUAGGUGGGCCUGGCGACGGUUGUCCAGGUUCAAGUGCGUAGGCUUAAGAGUUAGGUAAAUCCGGCUCUUU
Molecule: ribosomal RNA, 1498 nt
Filed under: Vibrio parahaemolyticus
Lineage: Bacteria; Pseudomonadati; Pseudomonadota; Gammaproteobacteria; Vibrionales; Vibrionaceae
Description: bacterial LSU rRNA
Rfam family: Bacterial large subunit ribosomal RNA
Source: RNAcentral